AGAGUUUGAUCAUGGCUCAGAACAAACGCUGGCGGCGUGUCUUAAGCAUGCAAGUCGAGGGGCAGCACGGUGUAGCAAUACACGGGUGGCGACCGGCGCACGGGUGAGUAACGCGUAUGCAACCUGCCUACUACAAGGGGAUAACCCGUUGAAAGAUGGACUAAUACCCUAUAACACAGGGAAUCCGCAUGGAUAUAUUUGUUAAAGAUUUAUCGGUAGUAGAUGGGCAUGCGUUCCAUUAGCUUGUUGGUGAGGUAACGGCUCACCAAGGCAACGAUGGAUAGGGGAACUGAGAGGUUGAUCCCCCACACUGGAACUGAGACACGGUCCAGACUCCUACGGGAGGCAGCAGUGAGGAAUAUUGGUCAAUGGACGAGAGUCUGAACCAGCCAAGUCGCGUGAAGGAAGACGGCCCUACGGGUUGUAAACUUCUUUUGUAAGGGAAUAAAUAGUCUUACGUGCUAAGACGUUGCAGGUACCUUACGAAUAAGGAUCGGCUAACUCCGUGCCAGCAGCCGCGGUAAUACGGAGGAUCCGAGCGUUAUCCGGAUUUAUUGGGUUUAAAGGGUGCGCAGGCGGCAUGUUAAGUCGGCGGUGAAAUUUUGCAGCUCAACUGUAAAAGAGCCUUCGAAACUGGCAAGCUUGAGUGUGGAUGAAGUAGGCGGAAUUUGUGGUGUAGCGGUGAAAUGCAUAGAUAUCACAAAGAACACCGAUUGCGCAGGCAGCUUACUAAACCAUAACUGACGCUCAUGCACGAAGGCGUGGGGAUCAAACAGGAUUAGAUACCCCGGUAGU
Molecule: ribosomal RNA, 795 nt
Filed under: uncultured bacterium
Lineage: Bacteria
Description: bacterial SSU rRNA
Rfam family: Bacterial small subunit ribosomal RNA
Source: RNAcentral